UCGUGAGACAGGUUAGUUUUACCCUACUGAUGAAGGUUAUCGCAAUAGUAAUUGAACUUAGUACGAGAGGAACAGUUCAUUCAGAUAAUUGGUUUUUGCGGCUGUCUGAUCAGGCAUUGCCGCGAAGCUACCAUCUGCUGGAUUAUGGCUGAACGCCUCUAAGUCAGAAUCCAUGCUAGAAAGCGAUGAUUGUUGCUGCACCAUAUUUAGAUGGAUACGAAUAAGGCGUCCUUGUGGCGUCGCUGGACCAUAGAAGGCCUGCGGUGGUGCGUUUAGCGGAAAGGCUUUGCGUGCUUGCGGGCGGAUAGCAAUGUUAUUUGUGGUGUGGAUAAAUCAUUUGUAAACGACUUAGAUGUACAACGGGGUAUUGUAAGCAG
RNAcentral lists this ribosomal RNA (377 nucleotides) under Tetrapisispora nanseiensis. RNAcentral describes it as "eukaryotic LSU rRNA". It matches the Rfam family "Eukaryotic large subunit ribosomal RNA", at positions 2971 to 3344 of the family's 3401-position model. Lineage: Eukaryota; Fungi; Ascomycota; Saccharomycetes; Saccharomycetales; Saccharomycetaceae. The record is from RNAcentral.